This 439-nucleotide ribosomal RNA is filed under the name uncultured bacterium. Its description in RNAcentral is "partial 16S ribosomal RNA". It matches the Rfam family "Bacterial small subunit ribosomal RNA", at positions 339 to 795 of the family's 1533-position model. The record is from RNAcentral.
CUACGGGUGGCAGCAGUGAGGAAUAUUGCACAAUGGGGGGAACCCCGAUGCAGCAACGCCGCGUGGAGGAUGACGCAUUUCGGUGUGUAAACUCCUUUUAUAUGUCAAGAAAAUGACGGUAGCAUAUGAAUAAGCACCGGCUAACUCCGUGCCAGCAGCCGCGGUAAUACGGAGGGUGCAAGCGUUACUCGGAAUCACUGGGCGUAAAGGACGCGUAGGCGGGUUGGAAAGUCAGGUGUGAAAUCCUACAGCUUAACCGUAGAACUGCACUUGAAACUUCUAAUCUAGAGUAUGGGAGGGGGAGAUGGAAUUAGUGGUGUAGGGGUAAAAUCCGUAGAUAUCACUAGGAAUACCUAAAGCGAAGGCGAUCUCCUGGAACAUUACUGACGCUAAGGCGUGAAAGCGUGGGGAGCAAACAGGAUUAGAUACCCCUGUAGUC